CCUACGGGUGGCAGCAGUGGGGAAUAUUGCACAAUGGGGGAAACCCUGAUGCAGCGACGCCGCGGGAGUGAAGAAGUAUUUCGGUAUGUAAAGCUCUAUCAGCAGGGAAGAAAUAGCGACCUUUGGGUCGCCAGACGGUACCUGACUAAGAAGCCCCGGCUAACUACGUGCCAGCAGCCGCGGUAAUACGUAGGGGGCAAGCGUUAUCCGGUUUUACUGGGUGUAAAGGGGGCGUAGACGGCAAGGCAAGACAGAAGUGAAAGGGCAGGGCUCAACCCUGUAAAUGCUUUGGAACUGUGGUGCUAGAGUGCAGGAGAGGUAAGUGGAAUUCCUAGUGUAGCGGUGAAAUGCGUAGAUAUUAGGAGGAACACCAGUGGCGAAGGCGGCUUACUGGACUGUAACUGACGUUGAGGCUCGAAAGCGUGGGAGCAAACAGGAUCAGAUACCCCUGUAGUC
RNAcentral lists this ribosomal RNA (456 nucleotides) under uncultured bacterium. RNAcentral's name for it is "partial 16S ribosomal RNA". It matches the Rfam family "Bacterial small subunit ribosomal RNA", at positions 338 to 795 of the family's 1533-position model. The record is from RNAcentral.